CGGGACGGGGUGGAGUAAUGUCUGGGAAACGUGCCUGAUGGAGGGGGGUAACUACUGGAAACGGUAGCUAAUACCGCAUAACGUCGCAAGACCAAAGAGGGGGACCUUCGGGCCGUCUUGCCAUCGGAUGUGCCCAGAUGGGAUUAGCUAGUAGGUGGGGUAACGGCUCACCUAGGCGACGAUCCCUAGCUGGUCUGAGAGGAUGACCAGCCACACUGGAACUGAGACACGGUCCAG
Molecule: ribosomal RNA, 237 nt
Filed under: uncultured bacterium
Lineage: Bacteria
Description: partial 16S ribosomal RNA
Rfam family: Bacterial small subunit ribosomal RNA
Source: RNAcentral